GGGUAGUUUGACUGGGGCGGUCUCCUCCCAAAGAGUAACGGAGGAGCACGAAGGUUGGCUAAGCAUGGUCGGACAUCAUGCGGUUAGUGCAAAGGCAUAAGCCAGCUUGACUGCGAGAGUGACGGCUCGAGCAGGUACGAAAGUAGGUCUUAGUGAUCCGGUGGUUCUGAAUGGAAGGGCCAUCGCUCAACGGAUAAAAGGUACUCCGGGGAUAACAGGCUGAUACCGCCCAAGAGUUCAUAUCGACGGCGGUGUUUGGCACCUCGAUGUCGGCUCAUCACAUCCUGGGGCUGAAGUAGGUCCCAAGGGUACGGCUGUUCGCCGUUUAAAGUGGUACGCGAGCUGGGUUUAGAACGUCGUGAGACAGUUCGGUCCCUAUCUGCCGUGGGCGUUGGAAGAUUGAAAGGGGCUGCUCCUAGUACGAGAGGACCGGAGUGGACGCACCACUGGUGUUCGGGUUGUCAUGCCAAUGGCAUUGCCCGGUAGCUAAGUGCGGAAGAGAUAACCGCUGAAAGCAUCUAAGCGGGAAACUUGCCUUGAGAUGAGUCUUCCCUGACUCUUUAAGGGUCCUAAAGGAACGUUUAAGACUAAGACGUUGAUAGGUUGGGUGUGUAAGCGUAGCGAUACGUUGAGCUAACCAAUACUAAUGAACCGUGAGGCUUAACCUGACAACACCGAAGGUGUUUUAG
This 689-nucleotide ribosomal RNA is filed under the name Providencia rettgeri. Its description in RNAcentral is "partial 23S ribosomal RNA". It matches the Rfam family "Bacterial large subunit ribosomal RNA", at positions 2263 to 2925 of the family's 2925-position model. The record is from RNAcentral. Lineage: Bacteria; Pseudomonadati; Pseudomonadota; Gammaproteobacteria; Enterobacterales; Morganellaceae.